RNAcentral lists this non-coding RNA (292 nucleotides) under Marchantia polymorpha subsp. ruderalis. Its description in RNAcentral is "Bacterial small subunit ribosomal RNA". It matches the Rfam family "Bacterial small subunit ribosomal RNA", at positions 90 to 532 of the family's 1533-position model. The record is from Rfam by way of RNAcentral. Lineage: Eukaryota; Viridiplantae; Streptophyta; Marchantiopsida; Marchantiales; Marchantiaceae.
ACAUCUUAGUUUACAGUUGAGAAUGUUCUGGGGUCUGCCGACUCUAGAGGUUGACUUUAAACUAGACGCCGAUAAACUUCGGAACAUGCGAACUGCAAAUUAACACGGCCCAGACUCUUACUGGAGGCAGCAGUGGCGAAUUUUGCGCAAUGGGCGAAAGCCUGACGGAUCAAUGCCGCGUGGAGGUAGAAGGCUCAAGGGUCGUAAACUCCUAUUCUCAUAGAAGAUGCAAUGACGGUAUCUGAGGAAUAAGCAUCGGCUAACUCUGUGCCACCAGCCGAUAGACAAAGCA